UGGGAAGUUUCUUAUAAUUAGGACAUAGUUAUCACAGCUAAUAUGCUCGUCCGAAUUGGAAAGUUCUAUCAUACAGGUUUUGUCGGCGACACUUACAGCCUUGCUUAUGGAGAAGUAGGUAUAGAACUUUACAGCUGUGUGGGAAACUCCAAAACUGAGAAAUGAGUGGAAGCUACAGAGGUGUGAGAUUGGCUUCUGGCUAGGAUAUCUUUAGCCAGAAGCUGGUUUUGGAUCCAUCCUAUACUUUUCUAUCACCGCCAGCCUCUCAAUCAGAUCUUCUGCAUGGAAUUUAUUAGUUUUUGAGCAUCAGAGAUGUUAAAUGGAAGGUGGCCAGGAGGAUAUGCAUUGCAAGGAGUUCCUUGAAUCCAGACACAUCAAACCCGCUGGUCGUAUAUCCCCCUUGAUGUAAUAGCAGUCUGCUUGGAUGAAAAGUUAUGUUGAGGAAAAAUUUAUCGUUUAUGGCUCCUCGUGUCAAUAAAAAAACCCCAUGUCAACUGAAUUUCAAAGGUUAUGCUGAUGGAGCUUGUGAUUUAUUGUCUGCUAACUUUCCAUGGUGCACAAUCCCAAGCUUUUUUAAAAAAUUUGGGAUACUUGAGUUGAUAAUUCUCUAAUUUUGUUUGAGGUUUGUGCUAUAUCUUUUCAGCUUUGUGUGAUGAUGCCAAUCAAGGAAAGAGGUUGCUAAAUGCAGCCAUGAAUGCCCUUCUCACAAUUCCUAAUUCUUUUAUUUCUGAAAGCAGUUCCACCGUACGUUCAACAUGAGAAUAUUGAAGAAAAACCUACUGUACUUUGGAGAGAGCGGUCUGUAUAUAUAGGAGAUCACUAUGGUGAUGAAGCUUGCCAGGGGAUUA
Long non-coding RNA from Populus euphratica (Euphrates poplar), 848 nucleotides. RefSeq lists it as uncharacterized. The transcript is spliced from 4 exons. The record is from RefSeq and is a predicted model, not a curated record. Lineage: Eukaryota; Viridiplantae; Streptophyta; Magnoliopsida; Malpighiales; Salicaceae.